CAGAAACUUGCGGCUGUGUCCGCCGCUGAGCGUGAUUGUGGGCAACUGGACUGACGGUGAAACUUGGGCGGAUUAGGCAGAGGUUGGAACCUUUAGGGAAGCUGUUUGGGCCUAUUACACUGCUUAGCUAAUUAACCUGAUCCCGUAAGCAGCAGAAAAGGCAGCAUAGCUCCGCCCUCAAUGUGGGACCCGCCUGUGGCAUCCUGGGAUCUGGGGUUUGUGCGGGGAGACAGUGCAAACUCCUUCUCUAGAGCCAAGCUAUCGUGCACGCUCCAGAAAGUCCCUCUAACUGGGCUCCAAGCUUGUCCCCCGUGUCGCUAAGGUUGCCAAUGUCGAUGGCAAGGUUGCCUUUGCUGAUGGCCACAGAGGUGUGCUGGGACUUUACCCCUUUCCUUGACCUGGGUCGCACUUUUCGGUGAGCUUUAUACCAUACUCUCCACUCUCCCAAGACUGUAUCUUACAGGGUUCUUGUCUCUAACUUGCUGGGUUCCAAAAUCACUCACCUCAAAAUUCAGCUUUUAAUUGUUAUGCUGGUGCUUCUUUGUGAAAGAGGUGAGUGCUGGGCACCUCUGUAUGACUAUCUUGCCCUCUGACUCUAAAUGUGUG
Molecule: long non-coding RNA, 606 nt
Filed under: Marmota monax (woodchuck)
Lineage: Eukaryota; Metazoa; Chordata; Mammalia; Rodentia; Sciuridae
Source: RNAcentral